Molecule: long non-coding RNA, 1508 nt
Filed under: Cricetulus griseus (Chinese hamster)
Lineage: Eukaryota; Metazoa; Chordata; Mammalia; Rodentia; Cricetidae
Description: lncRNA (ENSCGRG00015030197.1)
Source: RNAcentral
CGCAAAAGCAAAGCGAAUGUGCCUGGAGCACUCAGGCAAGCGGCAGAAGUAACAGGGCCACCUGCCCUGUGAUAUGGCUCCGUCUGGCCCGGCCCAGCUCUGCCCAGCUUGGCCCAGCUGCAUUAAAGAUUCCCUAGAGCGUCUGGGUCCUAAGCUGCCGUCAUCCUGGUGACUCCCGAGCAGUUCUGGCACAACACCGAUGGCUUUCCCUGUCUCAGACAAUGAAGGAGUUGGAAAUCCCACCCAGAACAGUGGGAGGAUGGCUCACAAGGGGAACGUGAGGGAUAACACGCAUCUCUUCUCCUGGUCAGCAUCAAACUCCCUCUCUGGAUAGCGCCUGCCCAUUUGGAGUUGCUCCUGUCUGCUGAACCCCAAGAUCAACCCCCCCCCCCCAGAGUACAGAAGUGGUUGUGUGGCUACAUUCCCCAGUUCAGAAAGGAAAACAGGGACUCCCACAUUCCCGGGCAGUUGAGCCACCCUCAGCUUGGACCAGCUUAGCUAGUGAUUUUGGUAUUCAUUAACUAUUCACCACCAGAAACAAAGACAGUGAUGGGCCACAAAGAACCUUCCAAAAGCCAGGUGUUGUCACUGGUGCUGGCUGUAGGCUGGGACUUCCACUGUCACGGCUGGGUUCAGUUUGGGAUCAGGUAAUAUGGUUUGGGGAUGAAGGCGUGGCUCAGUGGCUGGAGGGCUUGCUGAGCAUGGUUGAGGCCUGAGGUUUGAUCCUGCCCUCAAAAACCAGACUCUGUGGCACAAGCCUAUUAUCUUGGCCUCUGGAUGUGGAAAAGUAUCAGGAGGCCAAGGUCAUAUCUAUCUAUCUAUCUAUCUAUCUAUCUAUCUAUCUAUCUAUCUAUCUAUCUAUCUAUCUGUCUAUCUAUGGAGUUUGAAGUCUGGUAGCCUUCCCAAGACCCUGGCUCAAGAAAGCAAAAGCAAAAGCUAAGUGUGGUGGUAUGGUUGUAAUCCCAUCACUUGGUAGGCUGAGGCAGGGAGCUCAUUCUGAGUUCUAGACCAACCUGAUCCAAGUACAAAGCCUUAGGCCAGUCAGGAUGCCCUAGCAAGACAUUGCCUCAAAAACCAAACUGAUGGCAGAAGCGAUGUCUCAGUGCCCAAAGGUGCUGCCCCGAAGCCUGAAAACCUGAUUGCAUACCCAGGUCUCACGUGGUGGGAGGAGAGAAUCAAUCCUGUGAAGUUGUUCUCUUCCCUCCUCCUCUCCAUCGUGCAUGCACCUGUACACAUGCACACUAAAUAAAUAAACGCACAGUAAUAAUUUUUAAGAAACUUUUGGGCCAUCGAGAUGGCUCAGAGGGUAAAAGAUCUUGCUGCCAAACCCACCACAACCCUCAUGGUAGAAGAAGAGAACUGACUCCCAUAAGUUAAAUAAUUGGAUGUUUUCUUUUUCCUUUUCUCUCUUGUGCUAUUUUUGUCUUAAAAGCUUUUUAAAAAAGUUUUACACAGGCACAAGUGGCACACGCCUUUAAUGCCAGCAGUUGGGAGGCAGAGGCAGGCAG